Molecule: ribosomal RNA, 253 nt
Filed under: uncultured bacterium
Lineage: Bacteria
Description: partial 16S ribosomal RNA
Rfam family: Bacterial small subunit ribosomal RNA
Source: RNAcentral
UACGGGGGGGGUAAGCGUUGUUCGGAAUUACUGGGCGUAAAGCGCACGUAGGCGGAUCGUUAAGUCGGGGGUGAAAUCCUGGAGCUCAACUCCAGAACUGCCUUCGAUACUGGCGAUCUCGAGUCCGGAAGAGGUGAGUGGAACUCCUAGUGUAGAGGUGGAAUUCGUAGAUAUUAGGAAGAACACCAGUGGCGAAGGCGGCUCACUGGUCCGGUACUGACGCUGAUGUGCGAAAGCGUGGGGAGCAAACAGG